RNA transcript from Meriones unguiculatus (Mongolian gerbil), 10159 nucleotides. RefSeq lists it as uncharacterized. The transcript has 3 exons. The record is from RefSeq and is a predicted model, not a curated record. Lineage: Eukaryota; Metazoa; Chordata; Mammalia; Rodentia; Muridae.
CUUAAUGUUUUAGGGAGGCACUCACUGAUACUUUAAAGUUUGAUAAAAGACACUCCUCAGCUUUAGUAGGUUUCAGGACGACUUAGCUCCCAGGUUAAAAGGAGCCAUUUGGGUUGGCCAAAGAAGCCAGUUCCUGGGAAACCAAAUAUGGUCAUUUUGUGUAGAUUUCACUUCUUCUCCUUUUGCUGGCCAUUCUGCGUUUCCCAGGCCACCUGUCACCUUUGGAAAUACCCAGGGCUGGGCAUUGUGGUGCACACCUUUAAUCCCAGCAUUUGGGAGGCAGAGGCAGGUGGCUCUCUGUGAUUUCGGGACCUGCCCUGUCUACAUAGUGAGUUCAAAGACAGAGCUAUAUAGUGAAAGCCUGUCUUGAAAAAGAAAAAAAAAGAAAGAGUGCUCGCUUCAGCAACCCAUAUACUAAAAUUGGAAAGAAAGAAAGAAAGAAAGAUGGGAAAGAAAAGAAAUAAGAAAGAAAGAACAAAACAAAUUUAAAAAGAAGAAAGUAAACAUACAGACAGCAGUCACAGCCUUAAGUCUGGACUCCCAGUGGAAGCCAGCUGUCCUCCUUAGGACCAAGGGGACUGGGGACUGGGGACUGCUGGGCAGUGUUGAUCUUGGUGUGGCGGCCAGACCGAUUGCCCAUGAAAGCUGGGCUUAGGCGGCCUGGAAAGAGAAGGCUUUUCAGAAACCACGCCCUAGCUGGCAUCCUGAGCUAGAAAACAAGGGUCACCAGCAAUAGAAUGUUCUUUUGUGUCCUUUACUGACCCACCCAUUCAGUUCCCCCUGGGCCCCUAACUCUGUCUCGAGGCCAUGAACUGAGGUUGACACCAAACUUUGCUAAAAGGAGAAGGAUUUGCAAUCUAUAGCUAGAGCUAUAAUCUCUAGUACUGGAAUUGAACUUAGAGUCAAGUGAGGCAAGCACUGAGCCACAAAGCUAGAGCCCCAGACUGCUUCUAAAUUCCUUGUUAUAUUGUUUGUAAGAGAAGAAGAGCAGGCAAGCUCUGGCAAUCCUAGGGGACCUCCCAGCUUUUCUUAAUGUCUUCCUGUGCUGUGGUUUAUUUCAGUUCCACCAAAAAGGGUGUCUCUCUUCUCCCCCAGCUAGGAAAAUUGUCCUGGUCCCCUACCUCACUUAGGGCCUCCUUAGGACCUUGGGAGUAAACAAACUUCAACCUCCUGCCCCCCCUCAACCCAGGACUAUGUCACCUGCUUUGUUGAACCUUCUCCCUCAACACAUACUUAUGUGACUAACCCAGGCCCCUCCUGGCUGAUCUCCAUUGCCUGUACAUUUCAAAUAAACAUGACUUGGGGCAGGUAAGACACUGACCCUUUGUUGGUUGGCCCCCUCUCAGCUGUCAAAACGACAGCUUUGGGUCUGCAUCAAGAAACCAAUGGCUAGCUAGCUAAUAGUAUUCAAACCCCUGCCUGAAAAUGAAAGGAGAAAAAAAAUAAACAAUUUUCUGCUUGGGACAGCUUAAACUGAAUAAUCAUGACUGUGACAACCUGACCUAAAUGUUCUUAAUCAGAGCAGGAGAAAUAUGUGCCCAUUCGCCCCCUCCUUUACUAAUUAAGGGGAGCUAAUUGGCAUUUUCAGGAAUUUCCAACUGGGGGUCACGAGCCUCCAGUCGUCCUUUCACCCCUCCUCGUCCCACUCCUGGACCAAAGUUCGUCCCCGCCCGUGGAGUUGGCCUCUUUUCGACAGACAAUGGGAGAGGUUGCCGCGGACCCUCUGGCUCUGCCUUUGCGCCAGAACGUAAGCCUUGAAAAGGACGCCCGGUGAUUGGCCAGAAGUUCUUCUUGCCCAGCAGGGCUGCCAGCCUUUCACACAUCCCUAGACCUGUUUCUGGGGGGAGCCAAGACCUCUCACCGGGCUGCCAAGUCAGCACUGCCAAAUUGGUGGAGUGUGGCUCCCACCGGAGGCCCAGAAUUCAGCCCAGGGCUGGGCACGUGGGAGAAACUCAGGAAAUGUCUACCCUCCCCACCCCACCCUCGUAUGGAAUAAAAGCCCCCCCCCCAGGCAAAAGUCUUCACCUAGUUGAAGGGUUUCCUGGGCAGGUGCAAGACCCAGUUUUUCUCCAUCAUUUCGCUUCAGUCCUCUGCCCCCCUGAUUUUUUUUUUUUUUCCUAUCCACCUUCUAUGGCAAAGGCAAAGGACUCACCUAGAAGCCCUUCGGAGGCCACCACCCUCUAGACUCCCCCACACCCCAUGAGAUCCAGAUACUUCAGGCUACAAGGAGUUUGAACCUGAAAUGAGCCAGAUAAUUGCCCCAAUUCGCUGUUCCUUAUUGAGGAGAUAGUUUACAGGCUGAGAGGUUCAAAGGGGCCUCACUUUUAUGGACAGUGCCCUAAGUCAAAAGAAUACAUUACGCACAAUCGCACAAGCGGGCUGAAGCUCAUGCCCUCCAACCUAGACUGGUUCUCUAAGAACAAAGGAGACUUCCUCCUCCUCCCUCUUCCUCCUCCUCCUCUCUCUCUUCCUUGUUAUUAAUAUUUACUAAGUGUUUCCUGUGUUGCAGACAUCAUGCUUAAUUCUAGGCACAAGGUUCAUUAAUCAUUAUUACAACCUUAAGAUCUUGGACAGGCAGCUUUUUCACAGAUGUAUAAAGGAAUAUAUUUUUCAGUCAGGAAGUAUCUGUGUGUGUGUGUGUGUGUGUGUGUGUGUGUGUGUGAAAGAGAGAGAAAGAAAGGGAGAGAGAGAAAGAGAGAGACCUUGGCAAAUCCUAAUGUUUCAGGAUAUAACAGGAUGGAGACAAAACUGUGGAUGAGAAGAUCUUAAAGUUUUGAAAUUUAGAAGGUUUUACUGGAAGGCAGAUAGUUCCCCCUGCCCUGAAACGAACAAAGGAGUGAGGCAAUUAACUGGCUAAUUCCAAGACCCAAAUGCUUUCCCUUGAAAUGGGCGGAUAAUGAGGCCCACAGUAUGUUCGCAGUUGAAUUCGCCUGAUGUCGCUCCAUUUCCUUCUCUCCCCCACCCCCCAACUUUCGGGGAUCCAUUGGGCAAUCACAGUGAGACGCCAGACGCUGCCCGUGGACGCGCGCGCUCGCGCACUCACGCACAGGAAUGCUGACACACACAGACCCGACUUUAUUCUCCCUCCAGAGUCUUUUAUGACUCAGCCUUGGGAAUGAGAAUAGGGGUUUUGGAGAGAAAUAAUGUGCCUGGGGCCGGGUGGGCCGCAGCUGCUCCAGAUGUGCGCUGGGUAAUUAGGCUUCCGCGAGAGCUGGUGCCCGGCUGGGGACCGUGCGUCCCCCUGGGAACGGAGACCCAGGCAGGCGCUGUGCCGCAGUCUGUCCUGCUCUUUGCUGCCCCGUCCAGGGACUCCCUCCCCCGCCCUCCCUCUCCGCUGGGAUUCUCUGGUCUCUUGCCUUAGAAAUAAGUUUGGCAGCUGGUUCCAGGAAGAUGGCACCUCUGUCAGGCGGGAAGGAGGAGGGAGGAUUUGAUCUCUUCCGCCCCAUGCCUCUCUGGUCCUGACUGGCUCUGAGCACAGCCUCACAGGCCUCUGGGGUCCACACAAAGUCUCUCUUUGCUCCAUCUAGAAUUUAAUACAGCGUAUACUUCGUCCCGGCAAUGGUCAGGGGUGGGGGUGGGAAAUGGGGUUCCUGUUACAGUGACGGGGUCUGGCCAAGAAUGCCCUCCAGCUUUGGGGUGUAGGAAAGGUUCCCGCAUCUUCUCCUAGUUUCACAAGGUUUUCAAACUCCACUUUCCUGUCCAGUGUGUCUUUUUUUUUUUUUGAGGGCCUAAAACACUGGCCCAGUGCCCCUCAGUUAGGAAGGUUAUGAACUGGCCGUUCCCUGAAGGGAGGGUCGGGUUUGCCUUGCCCUGUCUUCACUUCCAGUGUUUUUGUGUUUUUUUUUUUUUUUUUUUUUUAAGAUUUAUUUAUUGUCUAUACAAUGUUCUGUCUGCAUGGACACCUGCGCGCCAGAAGAGGGCACUAUAGAUGGUUGUAAGCCACCAUGUGGUUGCUGGGAAUUGAACUCCGGACCUCUGGAAGAGCAGCCAGUGCUCUUAACCUCUGAGCCAACUCUCCAGCCCGACUUCCAGUGUUCUUAUGGCUUGCACCCAAUCUGAAACCCAGGGGACCCCAACGCUGCAGCAGAAACUGUCUCUAAAAGUUGUCGCUCCGGAAAUGAAGUACGCUAAGGGAAAACCGCCACAUUUGUUGGCUGUUGGAAGGUGUUUAUUUUGGAGUAGAAGAUUCACUUUGGAGUGGAGGAGGGCGCCAAAGGCGACGCGCUGGCGGCCGGCUCCAGGCCAGCCAGGCCCAGUUGCAGCUGCGGGAACCUGUCCCUCCGCUUGCUCGGUAUUGGACGCUGAGCUUCGGAGACGCUCGGGGACGAUCGGGCCGCGCGCCGAGUCCACGCCAGGGCGCCGCCUAGAGGUCGGUCGCGUCCUGCGCCUCACUCGCUAGCCGACCGCGGAGCGGCUUGUCCAAGGCACAGCGCUAGACUUAAAACAAAACAAAACAAAAUUCCCCGCUUUUGGGGUCGGGGAGUUGGCUUCUGGCACCUUUGACUGGUCAGAAACUGCCCCUUCUCUGCCUCGUAAGGAACCCCAGGGGGAGAAAGGGAGCGGGGAUUUCAAAGAAAUAUUUAUCCUUGUGACUCUAAGCAAAAGAGUCUCAACAUGUCAGUUUCUUCUAAGGAUCUGGGGUUCUGUUUCUGUGUCCGCACUGUUUCCUCUCAUCAUCCAGAUUGCCCAGCCUCAUCUUCCUCCUUCAUGCUAGAAGUAUGCGUUAACUUCAAGAAGAAAGGGGACUAUGAAGACGUCCCCUUGCCUCUUAUCAUCGUUUGACUGUAGGGCUUCUAAAUAAUUUGGAGAUGGACAUGUUUUGGGAAAGAACUUGGAAAUCGUCUGAGGGGUGAUAGGAAGAACUGCCCAAAGGGCCCUUACGUACUGAGUAGCUUCUUCGACGGUGUCCCAGCAAUAGUCAGGGCUGUAUUUGAAGACACCAGUAGCCCUGCUCAGGGGAGUCUGAAUCCUUGCGGGCUUCUUUUUGAAGCAGACCAAUGCCCCCCCCCCCCCCCCCCCGCCCAGCUCAGGGGCUGAGAGUAGGGGACGCUGCAGAGCUCACGAGUUUGUUGUGUUGAGUGCAGCCUCUCCUAGUUUCCCACAGAGCCCCUGUCCUCAGCCACGGAGCUACAGAGACCAGGCCAGCGGCGUGCAGGGAGCCAGCACACUGAUCUUCAGCCAUGGGCAUCCCUGGCCGGGCAGCUCCAUCGGAAACGGAAAAAGACUAGUUCUGAUGAGAGAACCCUUGGCCCUUCUGUCCUUCCUCUUCCCUCCUCUGUGUCUUCUGGAGGGAAAGGGGCUACAGGCAUGGCUGCCACCACAGUAUUCUCGAUAGAAACCGAGCGGGGUGAAGACUGAAAACAAGGGGCGGGGGUGGGGGCAGAGUGGGGUACACGGUGAGCAGAGUUGGGAGAUGUCAUUUGGGGAAAUAAAUAUUUGAGAGGUGUAAGGUGCUUCCUGUCCCAAAUGCUCUUCCAUCUUGGUGUCAGGAAGGCUGGUGCCACCACAGGGCACACCAGCCCACGAUUCUCCUCACCCCUGGCCAAACCUGGGCAGAACGGGGCCAAUUCAGCCUUUUGGAUUUUAUUAUUAUUAUUAUUAUUAUUUAAACGAUGAGAAACAGCUUGGUAUUUUCUGUUUCCCCCUCACCUUUAAAGCACCAGCGGAGGGAGCCUUGGCAGCAUGUCCUGGAGGGGGGAAUGAGUUGGCUAGGUCAGGGCUGCUGCACCUGUGUGUCUGGGUUAUGGGGCUGGGUAACCCUCCUAGGCCUGCAGCUCAGCCCCAGCCCCGGUCCUGAGCUGAGCCGAGGUAGUCUCAGCAGCCUCUCGAGUGUACUUUAGACCCAAAGCUUUGGUGUUUGGUGAUGAAUAAUUGGGGUGCACGGAAUCCAAGGGUGCUGUCGUCCUUCACUUAAACACGUACUUAGAGCUCCCAAAAUUCCGAGAAAGGGAACUGUUUUUCUUAAUUUCCCUGCAGUCCCCUGGUGGAGCAAAUCCGGAUUCCGCGAAAUUUUGGAAAAAAAAAAAAGCAAACUUCCCAAAGCGGAAAGAGCAGUGGCAAGUCGAGGUCCGCUUAGUUGGUGAUUGUUUGGAUUUGGUUUGGAGGCUUUUUAAAAAAGAGGAGCAGGCAGGGAACCUGGGGGGAGGGGGACCAAACGCCACUCUGAGCUCUCACUCUGCUCUCCAAGCGGGACGAGUUGGUCCCCCGCGAGUUUCUCCUUUGGAGCCCCUCACUGCUCAUCCCCCCAACCCCCCUUUCAGGCCUUGAGAAUUUCCCAAGUCCCCUGUCCCAUUCUAGCAAGUACCUGGCAAUAAACGGGCGGGCAGGGCAAAGGUCUGGACGCCCUAAAAAAAAAACAAAACUAAACUAAACUAAAUUAAACUAAAAAAAGCCCUCCUCGAGCAGACAACACAGGGUGUGGCACAGAGCUGGGCUUGUGGCGAGGAGUGCAGGGCGCUCAGCUCUGCCUAGGCAGGUUGCUGGGAGCCCUCAUCCAGGGCUCUUGGGUGUGCUCCGGACUCUAGGAGCCCAGGUUAGGCGAAUCGGCUUGCAGCCCUGGCCACGGAGCUAGAGAGAAGGGCACCACCGAGGCCUGGGGGACCUCUUUCUGCGCAAGCUCCUUCACCUCCUAAAUUGUUUCCCUUCCGUUUUACCCGCCCCCCUGCCCCCCAAAGCCGUGUUUCUUUUCAGGACAAGAGGGGAUAUAAACUGUUUGAAGUUCAUCAGCACGGUGAAGUUUUAUUGUAUUUCCGGUCCCCAAGAUUUACAUCCCCGAGGGGGAUGCCGGCAGCCAGGCAGACUCCCUCCUUACCUCCGAUUUCCACGCCGGACAUGUGGCCACGCGGACACUCGCCUUCCAGGGCGGGGGAGGGAGAGAGCCGGGCCCCACCGACUCCCCAGCGCCGGCUCAGUCUCCUGUCUACUCCCCUCAUCCCGCCCCACUCCCUGGCCUCAAGACUGGGAUUGGCAUAGAACUGGAAGGUUUGACCUCUCAGAGCUGCCUGGGAGUCCUGGUAACCCUGGAGCCCAGGGACUGGCCAGAUGGUGAGUGUACGGGAGCCUUUCUAGCAGUUUGAUGUUAAGAAUCCUUUUCAUCUGGGGAGCCCUCCAGCGAGGCCCAAGCAGGUAUCGCUUAGAGACCCUGGCCAGGGUUCUUGAAGGAGUUCCUGGAGUCCUGGGCCCAGCUCUUCAAAUCCCUUGUUUACCAGCAGCUGGGCUCUGUUAGGCUCUUUUUUCUGUUAGGAAGAAGUAGAAGAAAACAAGUCAGGCAGGGGAUGCAAGCCCUGUGGCCACGUUGGCCCACGGGAGCCCGCCCGGGUGGGCCCCUGGCCCGGAGCUUGAACUGGAACUGCAGAGUGAAUUAGGUAGUUUCAUGUUGUUGGGCCUGGCUUUCUGAACACAACAACAUCAAACCACCUGAUCCACGGCAGUUACUGCUUCUCGCUUAGCUGGAGGGGUCGGGUAGGGCCCUUCAGGACUGGCGGGUUACCCCUUGCAGAAUAAUAAAAGGGGCUCCUCAUCUGGGAAUAGCAAAAAGUGUUCCCUCAAGAAGAAACCUGGGGAGUUCUAGGAUUCUAAGAUGUCUGUUCACCAGAGAGAGAGAGGAGAAAAAGAUAGGGUAGGAGUAUGAGCAUCUCUCAAAGGCACCUUCAGGUGAUCUCUUUUGCUGCAAAGUCAAAGAUAGCAGCUGCCAGGGCUUCAAGCCCUUGGGUUAUGGGCUCCUGUCUGCAGUCAGACCUUCCAUGAAAGGUUUCUGCACUGCCUUGGUUUUUUUCCCCAACAGGGCUUUGGGGGGAGUCCUCUGAGUCUUCGUAUCUUUGGAUGACAGGGGCUCUACCUGAGCAAAACAAACAAACAAAAACCAAAACAACUUUGAAGUUCCUCUAAGGGGCCAGUGGGUAGCAAUCCCAAAGAGAAACACCGGGGUCAUUUGCAGUCUCUGUCUGCCAGCCUUUGGGGUCCCUCCUAGGGCCCCCUAGUGGGUAAGACUCCAGAAGUGGACGUGGGGGGGGCUUCCUUUCCCAGAUUCUAGUUGGUUCUUUACCCACUAGCUGAGCUGGCCUGUAGGUUCACACACGUCUCGAGGGCCACCCUCUGGGGAAAUGGCCUAAGGAGCAGCAGAAUCUAAAGAUGCUAGGUUAUUCGGUGCAGCCUGGCGUGAUGGUGGGGCUGGCGCCCGGACAGUUUCGGGGUAGGGCAGUUUCGUCCUCUCUGACCCCAGCCCUUCAAGGCUGCUGCUGGCUCAGUGCCCAGGAAAGAAGUCCCUAGGAGUGCUGGUGGGAAGGAGGACUUGCCAAGGCAUAGGCUAACUUUUGUUCCUAAAAUCUUUCCCUGCUUGAGGCAGAGGAAAUGGGCAAAGGGGCCCAGGAAAGAGGCUCCCGACCGGAUGGGACUCCAGGCGCCAGGCUGAUUUAGACAGUGAGGGGGGUGGGUGGAGGGUGUUUGAAUAAGAGGUCUCUGCAAAGGCAGAGAACACAGGGAGAGUAUCCUCCUAGAGCAGAGGGUUUUUUUUGCUUCAUAAGGAAGGGCCUUAAACUCUGAACUUUAACAUUUUCUCAUCUCCUUCUGUGGGGCAAGGGGGUCUGGAAAGUUCCUGCUGCCUUACCUUGAUUCUCCUCGGACCUCUUAAAAAACAAAACAAAACAAAACAAAACAAAAAACAAGCCAGGCCAUACUCCACCACUUGGCUGGUUCCCCACCCUGGCCACCUCCUCCCAGGAAAAGUGCUGUUAAAAAAAAAAAAAGAGAGAGGAGGAGGAGGAGGAAUAAGAAGAAAGAAAACAAGGGAUGUUAGAGAGAAAGGAGAAUAUAAAGUCUUUGGAGAGCAGAGAGUUUUACAACAGCCAAAGGUUUUAUGGAAGCAAUUGUGUAAUAGCCUUCUACCUGCUCAGAACCCUUUCCGCUCCGCCUGCAGCUCACCCCGUUUGGCCUUCUUGAUGCCUCCUCCCAAAGGACUCGGCCACCUCCCACUGUCUUGGAUAUUUGUGGUGGCUGAGAGUUGGUAAGAAGAUUCCUCAGGUCCAGUGGGGCCCGCUGACCUCUGACAUCCUGUGAGGGCUGUCAGAAGAUUUGGUUAUUUUCCAGUCAGGAUCCCUCCCUGGGGCUGUGGAAGCUCCCAGAUUUCUGCCUCAGUGUACAUACUUGGUGAUACCUGUUUGGAGAUUGUUUCUGGACAAAGGGUGUGGGUUCUGGUGUCUCCUUUUUCCCCUCCAAUGUCUAAGGGAACAAGUAUCUUUAAACCUCCCUGUAUCCCAGAGUAGGUCUGCAGUCUAAUCCUGAGGGUCAGAAGAAAUGUCUCCAGUGCUUGGGGGACAGAGACGGGGGACUGACAAUUUUGUAGUCUGCAGUGGUGCUUUGUCAGGACCUUCACAGUUAACCUGACGACUGUCUCACUCUGUCUGUCUGCUUUUCCUUCACACUUGUGUAAGACACACAAGCAAUGAUAUUUCCACCCUUAUGCCCAUCGCUACCAUGAAAUAAGUGUCACACAGUGCAUGCUGUCCCUGCCUGUUGGGGCAAGAUACGCAGUAAAGGAUUUCAUGGUUGGAUAACAAAAGUCACCAAAUUUCAUGACCUCUUCUGGGUCAGUUGGAGGUAUUUCCUUCACCUUCCCGUAAAAUGUUCCAGUAAUUGAAUCCAGCUUUAACACACACACAUUUAUUUAUUCGAAGAUGCAAUAUAAAACUUGCUUGAAUACUAAGAGGCAAGAUUUCACGGGAGGCUUCUACAUCAGCUAAUAUUUUAUAGCCAAAAUUUAGGCAUAAAUACCCAGGCUUUUUUCUCUAUAGGUGUGGGGUUUUUUGUUUGUUUGUUUUUUUGUUUGUUUGUUUUUUUAAACAUGCACACCAGAUUUGGGGUCAUACUUUUUAAAAGGAACAGAAUCACUAUUAAUCUACAGUGUUCACAGAAAUUAUGUACAUAACCACACACUUAGAUCUUAAGUGCCAGUGUUCAGGCGCAUUUAGUAUUACAGUUGGGAAGACUGUGCACAUAUACUGUAAAUGUAUGGAAUCGAGCAUAUUGGAAUGAUAGGUUCUCCUAUAGAAAACUGAUUUGGAACCAAUGUUUGAAACCGACGGAGGACAAACAUCUGCUCAAAUCCAACGUGCAUCAAUUUCAGCUUUAGUUUAUUAAUUAAAAACCAAGUAUUUUCUCUUUU